UUUUUUAAUAUUUUCUUAGUUGUCAAUGGACUUUAUUUGUGGUGCUGAGAAUCGAACCCAUUGCCUCACACAUGCUAGGCAAGUGCUCUACCACCAGUCACAACCCCAGCCCUUUUCUUUUUAUUGGUAGUGCUGGGAUGGAACCUAGAGCCUCAUGCAGGCCAGGCAAGUACUCUAUCACUGAGCCACACCCCCAACCCUAGUGCUUGGGUUUCUAGUACUCAUGCAUUUGGGUGCUGUCUGCCUGAGUUUAGGUCCCUAGUCAAACUGGAACGACCUGUACACUUGCCAUAUACGUGAACUGAUGCCCAGGAGAGAGCAGGAGCUUUUUCUGGGUCACACAGCAGAACUGAGGCAAAUCACAGUGGCUUCCAGGCUCUAUAUUGCCAUCUGUGAAACUUCCUGUCCCAAGGCUCUCCCCACCCCAUCAGCCAGGUGACAUAGCUCUUCUGUAGGCCUAAGCACCUCCAAUUGCCCUGCCUAAUCUGAGGCCUUAAAUGACAGACGCCCUUGUUCUGGUACCUACUACCCCUUGGUCAUCUCCUAGCCCUGGCUCCUCUGUUUUCUUGAGACUCCCCCACUUUAUGUGAGCCUGUUUGUGACAGGGGCUGAACUCCUUUGCCCAGAACAUAGCCUGGUACAGUAGUUUGCUGAAUGGACACAGUAACAGAGCUGGUUUCUGAAGGAAUCUUGACACAAGGUAUGGACCCACUUGGUGAGAGUGUGUGAAUAUUUCCAUCUUCAGACAUACCACCUCUGGUUUUAGGCUUUCUCUGAAGUAAUAUCUUCAGCUCAUCUGUACAUUAUCUUAUUUGAUCCUUUUGGACUUUAGGAAGUUUGCAUUACCUUCUCACUCCUAACUUCCAAGAUGAGGAAAAUGAGGCCUAGAAAGGUGAAGGGCUGAGCCUCAGCCCCUCAGGGCAAAUCUGAGAUAGCUCAGGGCUUGCACACAGGUCUCUUCCCCACAUUUCUUCCUGCCCCUCCCAGCAGCCAGCUGUGGCAAGUGUUUGGUACAGUGUGGAAGGGGUGUGGACCCUACUCAUGGGUUCAUUUCUGCAAUGCUUCAGAAUAAAACACUUCAGGAAGAUAUUCCCAGAUCAGAGUUCUCAGAAACAGACAUGGCAGAAGGACUAUGUGUGUUUUUUUUGGCCACUGGGACCAAGGGAAAAUAGUCCAGGAACAAGACGCUCUUUGGCAUUCGUAUGGUUCUUGGCAGAUCAGGCAGGAACAAAGCAAACACAGGAAGAACCUAGGUGGAAACUCAAUUGGUUGUGUCAAGUGGUGGGGUUUCAGGACAAACUUUAACUCUCUUCUGAAAGGAAAGUGACCACAACACUCGGAGCAACCAAAAGAUCUUUAUUGCAGCAGUGCAACAAAGAGAAAGGAAAGAAGGAAAGAGAGAGAGAGAAAAGAGAAGAGAUGAACAGGGAGAGAGCAAGAGCAAGAGAGAGACAGUGCGUGCAAGAAAGAUAAAGAGCAAGAGAGAGAGAGAGCAAGAGAGAGAGGGAGCAAGAG
This 1515-nucleotide long non-coding RNA is filed under the name Marmota monax (woodchuck). Lineage: Eukaryota; Metazoa; Chordata; Mammalia; Rodentia; Sciuridae. The record is from RNAcentral.